GGGCCUCUCCGGGGGCCGUCACCCUUGCCUGCACCGUGCCCCCGUCACGGUCCCCGAACCUCGCUUGGCUUCCCAGGCCGGGAGCAGCCCAGGAGAAAGCAGC
This is a non-coding RNA of Ceratotherium simum simum (southern white rhinoceros), 103 nucleotides long. The record is from RefSeq and is a predicted model, not a curated record. NCBI's taxonomy places the organism in Eukaryota, Metazoa, Chordata, Mammalia, Perissodactyla, Rhinocerotidae.